This is a long non-coding RNA of Homo sapiens (human), 780 nucleotides long. RefSeq annotates it as RTCA antisense RNA 1. The record is from RefSeq and is marked validated. Lineage: Eukaryota; Metazoa; Chordata; Mammalia; Primates; Hominidae. The transcript has 3 exons.
AGUCAGUGCGCAUGCGCGUAGCUCGGCUUAAAGGAGCCGCGCUGGGAACACUGCGGUCGGGGCGAGGAAGCUGCCGGGGAAGUGAGAUGACGGUCGCGGGGGUGCCCAGGAGCCCUGAAAAACUUGUGCCCUGGGCACGGCAAAAUCUGCAGGUUGCAGAAAGUCUCAACUGAUCCUGGCAUACCCCGAGGUGCCGACUUUUAGAGCUGAAGAUGCAAGAAAGAUUGGGAUCCUGCGAUGCACCGAACCUGUCUCUCGAAGUGUGUGCGCCCUGCUUCCUGUGUUAAACAAUUUGCUACAAGGUCACACAAUUUUAACUAGAAGACUGAGAUGUGAACCUGGGUGGUCUGAUGUGAACACCACUGUCUGGUAAUCCCAACGCUCUGCUGCUUUGCGACAGAGAAUGUUUUAGGGAACACACAGACUAUGUACUUAACCAAAUCUGGAAUUUGCCGUAAGAUAUUAAUCAGAGAAGUAAUGAUACUUGCAUUUUAAAAUGAAGGCUUUGGCAGUAGGAGAAGGGUGAAUAAGAGGCUUAAGAGCCUGAAGGGAGAAAUGCCAAUGAUACAAUUAUCCAGCAAGAAAUAAUCAGAAGUUGAAGUAAGGCAAUGAUGGUAGGGAUGGAAUAUAAAAAAGCUGUACCCCUAUCUGACAUCUUUAUUGGGGGAACCCGCCCCCAAUAUUUCAACGUAGGUUCUUUCUAUUUUCCAUAAGUGUUGGCCAGCUGAGAAAUAAAGAGAGACAGUAUAAAGAGAGGAAUUUUACAGCUGAGCCACCGGG